CGUCUAUAUACGUAUAGCAUAUCAAUAAGCGGAGGAAAAGAAACUAACAAGGAUUCCCUUAGUAACGGCGAGUGAGGCGGGAAGAGCUCAAAUUUGAAAUCUUCAAGGUUCUACCUUGACGAAUUGUAGUUUAAAGAAGUGUUUUCUGUUAGUAGAGUGGCAAAAGUUCUUUGGAAUAGGACAUCAUAGAGGGUGAGAAUCCCGUAUUUGGUCAUUCUUUCUAGCUUUGUGAUACACUUUCAACGAGUCGGAUUGUUUGGGAAUGCAGUCCAAAAUGGGUGGUAAAUUUCAUCUAAAGCUAAAUAUUGGCGAGAGACCGAUAGCGAACAAGUACCGUGAGGGAAAGAUGAAAAGAACUUUGAAAAGAGAGUUAAACAGUACGUGAAAUUGUCAAAAGGGAAGCGUUUGACACCAGUGUUGUUUUUCCGAAAAUCAAUUACGAAUGUUUUAUUUUUGAGAAGUUAUGACUUCAUCGGCUUGCUUCUCUCUUUAUGAAACUUUCUUAAUGCACUUUUCGGUUAACAAGUCAACAUCAAUUUCUUUUGUUGUAAAAGGGUAUGAGGAAGGUGGCUUUCUUUUCGGAGAAAGUGUUUAUAGCCUUGUACCUCUGCAAUCGGAGAGAUUGAGGUCUGCAGCGUAGAUCCUUCGGGGUUAGAUACAUUUGUGCUAAGUUAUAGCUUUUCAUAGACAACUUGUUGACUAUGUUAAGUCUUGUAGCUUACUCGCUUAUGCUAUUUUACCUACGCUUAGGAUGUUGAUAUGCAUGACUGAUAU
This 774-nucleotide ribosomal RNA is filed under the name uncultured Neocallimastigales. Its description in RNAcentral is "partial large subunit ribosomal RNA". It matches the Rfam family "Eukaryotic large subunit ribosomal RNA", at positions 26 to 643 of the family's 3401-position model. Lineage: Eukaryota; Fungi; Neocallimastigomycota; Neocallimastigomycetes; Neocallimastigales. The record is from RNAcentral.